CCUGCUGAGUUUAAGCAUAUCAAUAAGCGAAGGAAAAGAAACUAACAAGGAUUCCCUUAGUAACGGCGAGCGUACCGGGAAGAGCCUAGCUUGAAAAUCAGACGUCUUCGGCGUUCGAAUUGUAGUCUGGAGAAGCAUCCUCAGCGACGAACCUGGCCCAAGUUCCCUGGAAAGGGCGCCAGAGAGGGUGAGAGCCCCGUCUUGCCCGGACCCUGUCGCACCAUGAGGCGUAAUCUACGAGUCGGGUAGUUUGGGAAUGCAGCCCCAAUAGGGCGGUAAAUUCCGUCCAAGACUAAAUAUAGGCGAGAGACCGAUAGCGAACAAGUACCGCGAGGUAAAGAUGAAAAGGACUUUGAAAAGAGAGUCAAAGAGUGCUUGAAUUGUCGGGAGGGAAGCGGACGGGGGCCGGCGAUUCAUCCCGGUCGGAUGCGGAACGGAGCAAUCCGGUCCGCUGAUCGAUUCGGGCCGUGGACCGACACAGAUUGAGGUGGUGACCUAUACCGAAGCUUUUUGUUACGCCCGCGGAGACGUUGCUGCCUUAAUCGUGGUCUGCAGCAUGCGCCUCACGGCGUGCCUUGGCAUCUGCGUGCUCAAGGCGUCGGCCUGUGGGCUCCCCAUUCUACCCGUUUUGAAAUACGG
RNAcentral lists this ribosomal RNA (639 nucleotides) under Brassica napus (rape). Its description in RNAcentral is "rRNA LSU_rRNA_eukarya". It matches the Rfam family "Eukaryotic large subunit ribosomal RNA", at positions 24 to 664 of the family's 3401-position model. Lineage: Eukaryota; Viridiplantae; Streptophyta; Magnoliopsida; Brassicales; Brassicaceae. The record is from Rfam by way of RNAcentral.